CGAUAACGAUAACAGAAGACCAGUCUUCGAAGAAAUGCAACCAACCAACAACGUGCCAAUCUCGUGCCCAGCAGAGCAGUACGUGGCGGCGUUCAAUUAAACGGCGCGAUGAGGGCGUUCUACCUGGCACUGAUCAAACGAAAGCACACCUGAAAAUAGCACCCCAACAACAAUAACAACAACCCAGCACCUAUACCAACACAUCACCAGAAAAUGGUGCGCGAUGUAUCGAAAUUUUCACUUUGUUGUUUGGCUGAUUGGCGGCUGUAAACGAGAGCAGCAGUCAUCCGCCCUUGAAAAGGCACAGGAUGCGGGAAUCGAUUAAUGCAUUGUCACCUCGUAAUUUUGGAGCGGCGUAUUCUGGUUUUCAGUUUUUUUUUUAUGUAACUGUAAAUGUAUCAGCAUGUAGAUUGCGAGUAAACACGCGCCGGUGAUACUUUUUCAAAAUCAUAUUUGUUGU
Armigeres subalbatus is the source of this 460-nucleotide long non-coding RNA. RefSeq lists it as uncharacterized. The transcript is spliced from 3 exons. Lineage: Eukaryota; Metazoa; Arthropoda; Insecta; Diptera; Culicidae. The record is from RefSeq and is a predicted model, not a curated record.